UGAGUGGCUAUUUAAUAGGGAAUUUGGUGAGAAUCCAAAACAGUUCCUGCUACCGUAAUGUCUUGAGGAGGUAGGUUGCCUCCGCCUUUCAGAUAUUCUCUGAAGCCACUGGAUUUACUCUGGGAAGGCUUUUCUAUUGAAAGGGAUAAGACUAAGUCGGGAGACCUGCCUACUUGCCU
This 179-nucleotide non-coding RNA is filed under the name Porphyromonas somerae. The record is from RNAcentral. Lineage: Bacteria; Pseudomonadati; Bacteroidota; Bacteroidia; Bacteroidales; Porphyromonadaceae.